This is a long non-coding RNA of Fukomys damarensis (Damara mole-rat), 5450 nucleotides long. NCBI's taxonomy places the organism in Eukaryota, Metazoa, Chordata, Mammalia, Rodentia, Bathyergidae. The record is from Ensembl.
AGACCAGCCUGGGCUACACAGUGAGUUCCAGGUCAGUCUCAACUACAUAGUGAGAUCCUGUCUCAAAAAAAAAAAAAAAAAGAAUAUGGGGGUGAGUGAGAAAUUGAGUGGACAGAAGCAAAGGACAGUGGCAUUGAUGAUUGCUGAUGCUCCCUCAGUGUUCACAGGCAGCGAGUACUAAGCUUUGCAUGUGUUGUUCCAUUCAUUUGCUGACAGGUGACACAGUCAGCUCACGGCACGCUCUAAGCACCGGGUUAAGGAACCUAUUUUAUUGAUAGUGGAGGGCCGCUGAAGGUUUUUGAAUAAGUAUUAGCAGGGAAUAAAAAAGGAGAAUCCAGACUGCUUGUCUAGGAGAACCGGAAGACACUGUGACAUUUUUGCGCAAAUACUUAUUUAUGCGAAGAGACAGAUGCUCCUUUUGGUUGUGGUGGGGGGACAGCCACACCUCCCAGCCAGCCUCAAAGGUGCGUGAGAGUCCAACAAGGCUUAGAAUCACUGACCUAGCAACCGUGGGCCUAGUCCCAGGCAAGACAUAGGAGGAGGGGUUGCAGAGAGAGUGUGGAAUGGCGGCUUCCCUCAGGGGUUCUGACUUUCCACUGUUGUAUGGGGGCCUUCAGAGCAUGGCAGAGACCAGGAAGGCUGCAGUCACAGGCAGGGCUGAGGCUCCGCUGCAAGCUGAAGUUGGAAUGAUACUGUCAAGGAAAACAGACAGGAGGGGCCAAGGACAGAUCUGUGAACAUAUUUCAUCUGUCCGCUGGGCCUUUUCCUAAGUGCUUUUCUGACAGAUGAUUUUUCUCUACACAGGAAACUCACAUGUUGAACUUCAGUUCCUAAAAUACAUUAAAUCACACUUCGGCUUCUGAGGGCAGGAGGGUUCGCACAUCAUGACUUACUCGUGUGGCUCAUGUCUCCUCUGAAGAAAUUAUCUCUUCAAAAUGAUCAGCAUCUUCGUCGGACUCGGAACCUUGCCUACCUGGAGGAAAAUACUGGCUUCUCGUCCUACUUCGCUUCACACAUUGCCGGCUUGCCUGAGGUUGCAGCCGGGUUUGGCCCCCACGAACUGCACAGAAGGAGGGGCCCAGCUAAACAAACAAGCACCGGGAUUAGCUGCAUCCCAUGCGGUAAAGCCAGUGCUAAUUUGCUCAGGUUAACAGAACAGCAACUAGCAAAACAGGAAUCCAGAGAUGUCUGGGGCAAGUGGGACUGGAGGCCUUGGGCUGGAACUGGAUUGCUAAGGGAAGCAGAUAGUCAGGCGAGGCUAGGUGUUGUUUGGCAAAAGGCACAACUCAAGAAACCGGGGACUCAGCCAGGCAUGGUGGUGUGGAUGCCUGUAAUCCCAGCACUCUGGGAGGCUGAGGCAGGAAGAUUGCAAGUGUAAGCCCUGUUCUGGCAACUUAGUGACUCUGAAAGACCCUGCUUCAAAAUAAAGAAUAAAAAAAAGGGCUGGGGAGGUAGCUUAGUGCAAAGGCCCUGAGUUCAAUCCCCAGUACCAUCAAUUAAUUUAAAAAAUAAAGCUGGGACUUCCUGCUAGAAAGAUAGUGUAGUGGCAUGAAAUUCAAGAAGAACCAGGACAAGUAUCAGAGAGAGUGGCCUUUCCAUACCUGUACCGUCUGUUAUGAGUUGAGUUUCAUUCUCUUCACCCCGCUGAGGUUAAAGUCCUGUGCUGCAGUACUCUUCAUCCUGAGAUACAUCCCUACUUCCCAUCCGCCCUUUUUUCCCACUUUGAGACAGGGUUUUGCCAAGUCACUAAGUAGCUCAGGUUGGACUUGAAUUUGGUAUCCUCCUGCCUCAGACUCAAAGAUUACCAGCAACCAUUGGGUGCUGGGGAAGAGGUACGGGACAGAUCCCUUCUCUCAGCACUCAGAAGGAACCCACCCUGCUGGAUGGUGUGGUUUUUGUGGUACUGGGGAUCGAACCCAGGGCCUCUCACACACAUUAUUCUAGUUAGUGACAUCCCCAGCCCUCUGCAGAGCCUUUGAUCUCAAACUUCUGGCUUCCAGAACUACGAGGCCAUAAAUUUCUGUUGCUGCAACCACCCACUUGAUGGUAUUUUUGCCUAGCAUACCAACCCACCUCUUUUCUCUGCACUGCUAGGUCUGUUCCCUGCUGCUUCUGGCCAGUCUAGUCCUGGUUUCCGGAACCAAGGACUCUGCAGAGGCAGAGCUGUGGAAAGCAUAAAUGGCUCCGGGCUCCGCAGAGCUCACUGGAAGUCAGCAGGCAGAGUGGCGGAACCCCGACUCUAUUUACUGUGAGGGCCGAGUCCUGUGUGCAGUGAGGUCAAGAGAGAGGGUCCUCAAUGUAGAGCUGGCUGCUAACUCUGCAGGGACCAAAACAUCCAACCCAAGUCUGGCCCACGGAUCUUGCUUAACCUGGCUUAUAAAGCCUUUGUUCCCAGCCUUUCUCCGUGUCAUUAUUCAGGCUGUUGUUAUCCACUUGCUUUAGUUAUCAGGGAGCAGCAGCCAGUUGCCAUGGUUACCUAUAAGCAGCAAAGUGCCAUUCCUUGGAGGUCCCAGGGUUCCACAAACAAGACGGGGGCCUGGCACAGUGAAUAUCACUGAGCCCAGUAGUCAGCAUGGAAUACUGAGGGGAGCGGGGUCCCUAGGGCUGGGUCCUUAGAGCCCUGGAGCAGAGGCAAAGGUGCUGUUCCUCCUAUCAGAGGUGAUUAUUGCAAAUAGUCUUUCAAACAAAUAUGUGCUGUCAUUGUUAUUAAAGAGCAGGCAGGCAUAGUCAGGACUGUCUCUGCUAGAAAAAUUAAAUGCAGUUGUAUUUCUGAGCAGAUAAACUGGAAAAGUGUAUUUUGUUUUGGAUUUUUUUUUUUUUUUUGAAAAGCCUUGAACUCACUAUGUAGCGCACCCAGCGUGUUCUCCAACUUGCAGCAAUCCUCCUGCCUCAGCCUCUCCACUGCUGGGAUUAUAGGCGUGCACCACCACACCUGACAAGAAUCAGCUCUUUUGAUCCUUGCACCUGUGAGGCUGGUACUCUAACUACCCCAUGAGCAGCUGGGAAACUGGUGCAUUGAGAUAAAGCUCCCCACAGUCAUUCUACCAGGCAGGCUGGCGAGCCUAGGACCAGGUGUGCUGGAUUCCAGAGCUCCAAGUCCUCAGCCACCCUUCCACACUGAGCUGGGCAGUUCCGGUGAGAUGGAUGCAACCGAUAUGACAAGUUCUGCCAGAAAGUGUAGCUGCAAGUCUUGUUUACAGCUGGGCAAUGAGAUUCUAACAUGGAAUGAUUUUGAAUAAUCUGUGAGGAACAAAAGUGAAAGCUGGUGGUUGUGACGAAGAAAGCACUAAAAGUAGAAAAAAUGUAUUGGUCCUUUUGUUACUGUUAUUUUUGAGACAUGGUCUCACUACAUAGUUUCCCUUUCUUUUUUUUGAGACAAGGUCUCUCUAUGUAGUUCAGACUGGCCUUGAACACAUAGCAAUCCUCCUGCCUCAGCCUCCUGAGCGCUGGGAUUACAGGUGUGCACCACCACAUCCAACUCUGACUGCAAUCAUUAUAGCAACCCCUAUAUAUAUAUAUAUUCACAUUGAAUAGGCAAUAUAUUUCUAUAUUUUGGGUUAAUUUAUAUUUUCAUACAUAUAAUACAUGUCCUAUCAUUAAAACGUAACAUUGCUUGAAGAUUCCUGUCUUUAACAACCGCCAGCCCCUAGCCUGAUCUGCAGACCUCCCAUUUCUCCUUCGCAGAGCCAAUCAGCUCACCGCUCUUCUGUCCCUUCUAACCUUUGUCACCAUUUUCUAAAUAAACGUCCCGGCUGAUGGAGUCCGAAUAUAACCUAUUGAUUUCCCUCCAUAAUAGUUGAGGGUUUCACCUUUCCGUGCCACCUGGCCCACCUCCAUUUCUCCAUGUCCCUCGAAUAAGAAGACACUCGUCACCAGGACGACUGGGUGUGGCAUGAAGGCCAGAGGUCAGAGCCCCUUCACAAGGAUGGAAGCGGCCGCGCAUCGGACAAAGCACAUGCGCGGAAGGCCCUGCCGCCUACUGCCUGCAUCUAAGGGUGCCUUAGCUAUUGUUUAGCCGGAGCCCGGAGCGUAGUGGUACACACUUGUCAUCCCAGCCCUGGGAGGCUGAGGCAGGAGGAUCGCUGCGAGUUAGAUGCCAUCCUGGGCUACACAGUGACAAGCUGUCUUAAAAAAAAUGAAAACCCAACAACAACAAAACAAAACAACAGCAAACAAAGCAACAACAACGAAAAGAAGUUUUAAAAUGCGACCCGUAGAUCGCUACUACGUCCAAAAUCAAAUGAAAAAUCUUGUGACGCAUAUGCUGACUACACCACAAUUUAUCAACUUGACUAUGGAGGGUUCAAGAUAUGGCCCAAGAACUCUUGGACACUUUUCUCUUUAAGAAAGUUCCUGUGUCCCCUCCCCUCAGAAUCCGGGUCAACUUGUGACUGCUGUCCCCCUGGACCACAGGAAGUGAUGGUGUGGGGUUUCUGCAGCUUCCCUCGAAUUUUCUUGGGCACUUCAGCUGCGGAAAGUCAGCAUCACAUGAGAGGUGUGACAACUGGGGGUCACCUUCGGGCUCCUAGUCACCUGCCACGAGUGAGCCCGUCACGGCUUUUCAACGUCUGAUUUGCAGGCACCUGAGAAAUCCCAGGAGAACACGGCCCAUCAGAGCACUUUCCAAUUUCCUAGCUCAUGAAAUCACAAGCAAAUAAAACAGCUGUCAUUUCAGAACCCCAAGUUUUGGAAUAAUUUCUUUUGCAGCAAUAAUAAUAAGUGGGCUGGGUGUGGUGGUGCAUACCUGUAACCUCAGCACUUUGCGAGGCUGAGGCAGGAGGAUCACAAGUUCAAACCCAGCCUGGGAAAUUUAGCAAUUUAGGAAAAUCCUGUCUCCAAAUGAAAAAAUGGCUGGGGAUGUAACUCAUUAUGAACAAAUAGGAAAACCUGGGUUCAAUCCCCAGUGAAACACACACACACACACACACACACACACACACACACACACACACACACACGCUUUCAUUCUACACAUUAUCUCAUUCAAAUCUUACAAAGUUGAUAUCAAUGGCUCUGUUUCACAAAUGAGGAAACUGAGGCCACGUAUCAAGCCAGCAGAAAGUCCAGGACUCUUACCCAACUAUGUUCAAGUCUAGAGCCUGUGCUUCCAAUCUUCAUGCUACGUUUCCUCUAUAAUUAGGAAAUGAAGCCUGGGCAAGAUCCUUUAUUUAUUUAUACUAUUGCCUUGCUCCAGAAAGGAUUUCAGGCAUCUGGUUAAGUAACUUGUCCAAGAUCACCCAGGCAACAAAAACAAAGCCAUCAAUCAAGUCUCUUUCUCUCACAAACUUCAUAAACCAAGUGAGAUAACACAGAUGCUCAGCCCUAUCAUGACUUUGCUCAUAAACCCGAGAAAGGGGAAUGUGGCAUUUUCUUUGGCUGUUUUUCCUGUUCAUUCUCACUGGUUAUAAAUUCCUUGCUUUAUCCUUUUUUUCUUUUUUUUUUUUUUUUUU